Molecule: ribosomal RNA, 427 nt
Filed under: uncultured beta proteobacterium
Lineage: Bacteria; Pseudomonadati; Pseudomonadota; Betaproteobacteria
Description: bacterial SSU rRNA
Rfam family: Bacterial small subunit ribosomal RNA
Source: RNAcentral
UGGGGAAUUUUGGACAAUGGGCGAAAGCCUGAUCCAGCCAUGCCGCGUGAGUGAAGAAGGCCUUCGGGUUGUAAAGCUCUUUUAGUCGGAAAGAAAGAGUUGCAAUGAAUAAUUGUGAUUUAUGACGGUACCGUCAGAAAAAGCACCGGCUAACUACGUGCCAGCAGCCGCGGUAAUACGUAGGGUGCGAGCGUUAAUCGGAAUUACUGGGCGUAAAGGGUGCGCAGGCGGUCUUGCAAGUCAGAUGUGAAAGCCCCGGGCUUAACCUGGGAAUUGCGUUUGAAACUACAAGGCUAGAGUGCAGCAGAGGGGAGUGGAAUUCCAUGUGUAGCAGUGAAAUGCGUAGAGAUGUGGAAGAACGCCGAUGGCGAAGGCAGCUCCCUGGGUUGACACUGACGCUCAUGCACGAAAGCGUGGGGAGCAAACA